This 466-nucleotide ribosomal RNA is filed under the name uncultured bacterium. Its description in RNAcentral is "partial 16S ribosomal RNA". It matches the Rfam family "Bacterial small subunit ribosomal RNA", at positions 28 to 507 of the family's 1533-position model. The record is from RNAcentral.
GAUGAACGCUGGCGGCGUGCUUAACACAUGCAAGUCGAACGAUGACGCUCAGCUUGCUGGGUGGAUUAGUGGCGAACGGGUGAGUAACACGUGAGUAACCUGCCCUUAACUCUGGGAUAAGCCUGGGCAACUAGGUCUAAUACCGGAUAGGAGCGUCCACCGCAUGGUGGGUGUUGGAAAGAUUUAGCGGUUUUGGAUGGACUCGCGGCCUAUCAGCUUGUUGGUGAGGGAGUGGCUCACCAAGGCGACGACGGGUAGCCGGCCUGAGAGGGUGACCGGCCACCCUGGGACUGAGACACGGCCCAGACUCCUACGGGAGGCAGCAGUGGGGAAUAUUGCACAAUGGGCGCACGCCUGAUGCAGCGACGCCGCGUGAGGGAUGACGGCCUUCGGGUUGUAAACCUCUUUCAGUUGGGAAGAAGCGAAAGUGACGGUACCUGAAGAAGAAGCACCGGCUAACUACGUG